CUGACGGAGCGACGCUGCGUGAAGGAUGACGGCCUGCGGGUUGUAAACUUCUUUUCUCGAAGAAGAAUAAAUGACGGUAUUCGAGGAAUAAGCAUCGGCUAACUCUGUGCCAGCAGCCGCGGUAAGACAGAGGAUGCAAGUGUUAUUCGGAUUGAUUGGGCGUAAAGCGUCUGUAGGCGGUUUGGAAAGUCUUUUGUGAAAUUCUUCAGCUCAACUGGGGGUCCGCAAAAGAAACUUCUAGGCUUGAGGGAAGUAGAGGUACAGGGAAUUUCCGGUGGAGCGGUGAAAUGCGUAGAUAUCGGAAGGAACACCAAUAUGGCGAAGGCACUGUACUGGGCUUUACCUGACGCUAAGAGACGAAAGCUAAAGGAGUGAUUAGGAUUAGAUACCCUAGUAAUUUUAGCCGUAAACGAUGGAAACUCACUGCCGAGCCGGUAUUCGGAGCGGUGGUCAAGCUAACGCGUGAAGUUUCCCGCCUGGGGACUACGCAUGCAAAUGUGAAACUCAAAGGAAUUGACGGGGACCCGCACAAGCGGUGGAGCAUGUGGUUUAAUUCGAUGAUACGCGAGGAACCUUACCAGGGCUUAAAUGUAAGAUGCAUUAGUUAGAGAUAGCUAUUUCUUCGGACUUCUUACAAGGUGCUGCAUGGUUGUCGUCAGCUCGUGCCGUGAGGUGUCAGGUUAAGUCCUAUAACGAGCGCAACCCUUGUCGUUAGUUGCCAGCAUGUAAAGAUGGGGACUCUAACGAGACUGCCGGUGUAAACCGCGAGGAAGGUGGGGAUGACGUCAAAUCAUCACGGCC
RNAcentral lists this ribosomal RNA (801 nucleotides) under uncultured Ostreococcus. RNAcentral's name for it is "bacterial SSU rRNA". It matches the Rfam family "Bacterial small subunit ribosomal RNA", at positions 383 to 1200 of the family's 1533-position model. Lineage: Eukaryota; Viridiplantae; Chlorophyta; Mamiellophyceae; Mamiellales. The record is from RNAcentral.